AUGAUGUGGAUUAAUUCGAUGCAACGCGAAAACCUUACCUACCCUUGACAUGUCCGGAAUCCUGCAGAGAUGCGGGAGUGCCCGAAAGGGAAUCGGAACACAGGUGCUGCAUGGCUGUCGUCAGCUCGUGUCGUGAGAUGUUGGGUUAAGUCCCGCAACGAGCGCAACCCUUAUCAUUAGUUGCUACGCAAGGGCACUCUAAUGAGACUGCCGGUGACAAACCGGAGGAAGGUGGGGAUGACGUCAAGUCCUCAUGGCCCUUAUGGGUAGGGCUUCACACGUCAUACAAUGGUCGGUACAGAGGGUUGCCAAGCCGCGAGGUGGAGCCAAUCCCAGAAAGCCGAUCGUAGUCCGGAUUGUUCUCUGCAACUCGAGAGCAUGAAGUCGGAAUCGCUAGUAAUCGCGGAUCAGCAUGUCGCGGUGAAUACGUUCCCGGGUCUU
RNAcentral lists this ribosomal RNA (441 nucleotides) under uncultured Thiobacillus sp. RNAcentral describes it as "bacterial SSU rRNA". It matches the Rfam family "Bacterial small subunit ribosomal RNA", at positions 936 to 1382 of the family's 1533-position model. Lineage: Bacteria; Pseudomonadati; Pseudomonadota; Betaproteobacteria; Nitrosomonadales; Thiobacillaceae. The record is from RNAcentral.